GCCAACAUGGUGUAGUGGAUUGAGUGCUGGAUUAUGACUCUGGAGGCCAGGGUUCAAUUCCUUGCUUGGCC
RNAcentral lists this transfer RNA (71 nucleotides) under Phrynosoma platyrhinos (Desert horned lizard). RNAcentral's name for it is "tRNA-OTHER". The record is from RNAcentral. Lineage: Eukaryota; Metazoa; Chordata; Lepidosauria; Squamata; Phrynosomatidae.